RNAcentral lists this ribosomal RNA (306 nucleotides) under Triticum aestivum (bread wheat). Its description in RNAcentral is "partial small subunit ribosomal RNA". The record is from RNAcentral. Lineage: Eukaryota; Viridiplantae; Streptophyta; Magnoliopsida; Poales; Poaceae.
AUGGCUUCGCUCGCCUGUCGCCUCCCCUGCGGUUCCAUCCAGCGCUCCCACCUUCUUCCCCGCCUUCCGCUUCGUCUCUCUUGUCCUCCUCUGCUUCUAUCCGAUUCACUCUGUCCCCGCGCGCCCCUGCAGCGCCGGCGACACCGUCCGGAUAAGCAUCCCGAUCUCAUGUCUCUAGCUCAACGUGAGGUUGGCUUGUCGAAUGCCUGUGUCGGCGGUGUGUUUCGGGUAAUCUAUCUUAAGCAGAUUGAGCCGGUGUUUGUUACAAGAACUGAUUCACUGUUGGCACUUGGCAGCUGGGUGUAA